RNAcentral lists this ribosomal RNA (464 nucleotides) under uncultured bacterium. RNAcentral's name for it is "bacterial SSU rRNA". It matches the Rfam family "Bacterial small subunit ribosomal RNA", at positions 331 to 792 of the family's 1533-position model. The record is from RNAcentral.
CCAGACUCCUACGGGAGGCAGCAGUGAGGAAUAUUGGUCAAUGGGCGGGAGCCCGAACCAGCCAAGUCGCGUGAGGGAAGACGGUCCUACGGAUUGUAAACCUCUUUUGCCGGGGAGCAACGGGGUCCUUGCGAGGGCCCGAUGAGAGUACCCGAAGAAAAAGCAUCGGCUAACUCCGUGCCAGCAGCCGCGGUAAUACGGAGGAUGCGAGCGUUAUCCGGAUUUAUUGGGUUUAAAGGGUGCGCAGGCGGAGGUGCAAGUCAGCGGUCAAAUUGCGGGGCUCAACCCCGUACUGCCGUUGAAACUGGCGGGCUGGAGUUGGAGAGAAGUACGCGGAAUGCGCGGUGUAGCGGUGAAAUGCUUAGAUAUCGCGCAGAACCCCGAUUGCGAAGGCAGCGUACCGGCUCCACACUGACGCUGAGGCACGAAAGCGUGGGUAUCGAACAGGAUUAGAUACCCGGGUA